This 532-nucleotide unclassified non-coding RNA is filed under the name uncultured Fusarium. RNAcentral describes it as "sequence contains ITS1, 5.8S rRNA gene, ITS2". The stretch from base 178 to 331 matches the Rfam family "5.8S ribosomal RNA". The record is from RNAcentral. Lineage: Eukaryota; Fungi; Ascomycota; Sordariomycetes; Hypocreales; Nectriaceae.
GCGGAGGGAUCAUUACCGAGUUUACCGAGUUUACAACUCCCAAACCCCUGUGAACAUACCUAUCGUUGCUUCGGCGGGUUCGCCCCAGUUUGACACAAGCUGGACCCAGGCGCCCGCCGGAGGACCCAAACUCUUGUUUUUUUGAGUAUCUUCUGAGUAAACAAGCAAAUAAAUUAAAACUUUCAACAACGGAUCUCUUGGUUCUGGCAUCGAUGAAGAACGCAGCGAAAUGCGAUAAGUAAUGUGAAUUGCAGAAUUCCGUGAAUCAUCGAAUCUUUGAACGCACAUUGCGCCCGCCAGUAUUCUGGCGGGCAUGCCUGUUCGAGCGUCAUUUCAACCCUCAAGCCCCCGGGCUUGGUGUUGGGGCUCGGCCCGUCCCUAGCGGACGCGCCGUCCCCGAAAUCUAGUGGCGGUCUCGCUGUAGCCUCCUCUGCGUAGUAGCUAACACCUCGCAACGGGAACGCAGCGCGGCCACGCCGUUAAACCCCCCACUUCUGAAGGUUGACCUCGGAUCAGGUAGGAAUACCCGCUG